Molecule: ribosomal RNA, 591 nt
Filed under: Triticum aestivum (bread wheat)
Lineage: Eukaryota; Viridiplantae; Streptophyta; Magnoliopsida; Poales; Poaceae
Description: partial small subunit ribosomal RNA
Source: RNAcentral
AUGUGUUCGUGCGACAGCCGACAGUACAUGAGGCUUCAAUUCGACCGAGAAUCGGAUGAGAGCUACCAAGAGAAAAGGACAAGAAUUAGUGGUGCUGUGAUGAGAACAAAUGUUGAUAUCCAUAGGCAUGCAAGUAAAUUUUAUACAAGAAAGAUGUUUGAGCUAUUCGCUGAGAACGUCUUCAAAGGUGCAGCAUACCAGGUAGAGGAAUUUUUGCGGAAGAAGAAAUACGUCGCAAGGCACAAUGACGCCGACAAACGUGAGAAAUGGAGUAAAGUGGAUUUCGAGGUGAGCAUAUCAGAUGAUGGCGACUGGUUCGACUGUGAAUGUGGGCAGUUCGCCCACAUGGGGAUGCAAUGUUGCCAUGGUCUGAAGGUUAUUUUCUCAAUGUGGAGAUACCCAAGCGGCACAUCAUUAAGAGGUGGACGAAAGGUGCAAGGGACAUUUUGCCACAACACAUUGCUCACUUUCAGAAAGACCAGGCUGCCAAUCAAUUUUCAGCAGCCGGAGCUUGACUUUGUACCUACAUGCCAUGGGACUUGUCAGGAUUGGGGACUCAUCAGUCGCGACCUACGAGCUUGUGCUCGCUAG